Molecule: long non-coding RNA, 446 nt
Organism: Anneissia japonica
Lineage: Eukaryota; Metazoa; Echinodermata; Crinoidea; Comatulida; Comatulidae
Exons: 2
Source: RefSeq, a predicted model, not a curated record
UGUAAUGCAAUACUGCUCUCUAUACGUGGGAAAACCUUGUCCGUCGGUUUCUAAUGUUUUGAUUUUGCACCACAUAUUACGGAACAAGAAAACUAUAUUUUGUUAAGACACCCCAAAAUCUCGAAAGGAUCACGCAUUGAUUAGAUGCAUUGUACAUAUGUUAGGCCCUACUAUGUAAUCGGUCAAGCCAGUUUGAUGGUUUCUUCUCAGCACAUUUUACUUGACCUGGCCUAGGCCUAGGCCCUCCCUAGCUAAUUAUGAGCCUUUUGGCUGAGGUGGUACGGUAGAGACGUUGUUAGAACAACGUGCUGAGAGAGUAGGAAAGGACGCUUAUUAGGUCAGAUGCAGUAUUGUCCUAGUUGGCCUACUACUAGUAAUAUAGCCUAGGCUGUAUAUGAUUCAACAAACUUUGAGGGCGUUUCACCUUCUGCGACUGCGAUUUUGGA